Long non-coding RNA from Callorhinus ursinus (northern fur seal), 906 nucleotides. RefSeq lists it as uncharacterized. NCBI's taxonomy places the organism in Eukaryota, Metazoa, Chordata, Mammalia, Carnivora, Otariidae. The record is from RefSeq and is a predicted model, not a curated record.
CCGGGUUCGCCAGGGGUCCCGCGCGCUGACGCCGCCCGCGCCAUCUUGACCGAGGGCAGCCUUCCGCUAUUUCCGUUCUUUCCCUGACCCGGACCGCCAUCUUCGAUUGGCCUGGGCCAGAAACACUCAGGACCCUCAGAUUGCAGUGGGUUCCCAGGCCCCACCAGAAAAGAAGAUUAAGUUUGCCAAAGCAGAGACAUACUACUAUUGACGACAUCAAGAAAUGAUGCUGGGAGAAGCAUGGAGAUACAUCAUGGUUCCAAGGUGGGAAAUUAAAAUAGAGAGAGAGAGACCCCAACGUGAAAAAACAGGAGAUGCUAAAAGAUGGGACUUUUAGCACCCGAGAGGGAGCUGGGCCACAUAGAGGAGCACAUAUACCGAGUGGAAUGAGCCAGAGGCCUCAGAGACCACAAGUAUUGGCUCCUCCCUCAAAAGAUUCCAAGUGAAACAGUCUUCCCCAACAUACUAACCCUAGGGAAGGAGGAAAAGACUGAAACUAUCCAGAAAACCCACAAAACUAAGACCACAAAGCACAGGGUGACCUGGGCAAAGGAACAGAUCAAGGGGCAUCAGGAUCGAAUGAUUCAGGGGAGAGAGCUCACGGAGCAGAGAAGCGAGAGACUGCGUGCUUGGAAGAUCUUUGCCCCCGCUCCUCCUCUCCACAGGCCUGCAACUCACAAGGAGGAAGAGAAAGAAUUUGAACGGAUCGCAGCCUACCCGACUGCCCAGCCUUACCAGGAAGCACUCAUCAAAGUGACCAUCCUCAUGGAAAAGUCCAGAAAAGGGGAUAAUGUAAAAAAGCCCCUCCGAUGAGAGCUCUUGAGUAUGCCACCAUUUUUGAGAAGUCAACUAGAGAAAAAUAAAGUUUAUUUUCUGGAUUAUUUUAUUUUUUAGGCUGGCAUACUU